GUAGAAACCAAACCAUUAGUUUUAUCUUCGUUUUUGUUUUUUUUUUUUUUUUUUUUUACAGUUUUCUAUUUGCGAUUUUGUUUUUCCGGCCAACUUUUUAUAAUGCGGUAUCUAAUAUAAUUAUAACCAGAGAAGGUUCCCCCGCGUUGUGGGGGUUAGAAGCCUUCAAUAUUUAUGGUAUGUAUAACCGAAAUGUAUUUUUGGGGUACCAUAGAGGCGAGUGAGGUACCUGGAACAAACGACAUCAUCUCAUCUGAAAUUAACCAAACAUAAAAUGGGUAUUGAAUUGAUUUUAAGGAAGGAGAAGAGAGAAGCACCUGGUAACGUAUGCAGGACUAAAUUCAAAUAUCAUCUGAACCAACCAAAUUACGGUUCAAUUUGUCUAAUGUCAUAAUUAAAUUCAAAUAAUUAAAUCGGCUAAAAUAGUCGUCAGUUUAGUCGGCUGCGAUAUGGCCGAAAUCGAAGAAGGCUAUUGUCGAUCAAUCUCAGAAGUCGUUGGGGGUGUCAUGAGCAAGAAAUGAUGAAAACUGAAAGAGUCGGUGUAAGGGAUAGGAAAAAAGGAGUGAGAAACACAUCUAAUUGGGAGCAGGGGAGGUGGAAGAGGGGACAUAACACAUGUGCAGGACACUAAUUCAGGCAUUGACCACAGAGUAAAAUAAAAACCAAUGACAAAAUAUUAACCGGGAUGUAAAAAUAAUUUGACCAAGGGUUAAAGUUAACAAAACACACAAACAUAAAAGUCAAGAGGCUAAAGUGAAAAAUGGGCUACUUUUACUGUUCAUAAAGGGGGUUUAAAAUUUAUAUGUAUAUAUAAUUUAUGGAAGAAAAAAAAAACACGAUUCACUCCUUUCUAUCUAUACUAGUCUGGUACUGUGGUUGGUUUGGUGCCUAUACCGAUAGGGUUUCACCAUCUUCACUCUGAAGUGGUAAAACCAAAAGAAUGCAGUGAAAAUUAGGGUUUACAACUAAAUAGUUAGAUUGUCGUCUGAUUGAAACAAUGGCAUAGCUUCCCACAUCGGUGGCUGGAACUUAAGCUUUUGAUUUUAUAGUGCUUCGCCUUCGAUUAUAGUUCGUCCCUUCGGGGACAUCCGAUAAAAUUGGAACGAUACAGAGAAGAUUAGCAUGGCCCCUGCGCAAGGAUGACACGCACAAAUCGAGAAAUGGUCCAAAUUUUUUUUUGCCCUAAUUCGAUCGAUUGCUGCAUCUCUUUUUCAGAUUCGGUCCAGAAAGCAAUUUCUGAUGCUUAUAUGGGAUUCACAAAACAAACGCUAUGAUCAUUGCUAAUGAUUAUAAUGGAAUAUGCUAAGCUCCUUGUCUGAAUAGUCUGGUAGAAUCAGUUAAUAAUCAGGCAUCGACUUUAUUAUACAACUGUCUUUUUUAGAGGUGGAUAUGAGGGGUUUUCUAUUUCUGUUUGAUGUAGUUAUUGUCUUCAAUAGCUUCUGUUGGUUUCCUUUGUUCUUAAUUGGAAUUGGUGCAACUUCUGGGUGUAUCAUGUGUGUUUGAUAGCAAUUAACAAUCACAAACUGUCUAAAGUUGUAUACUUUAACAUACUUUACUGGUUUUCGUUGGCAUUUCAACAAGUAUAA
Long non-coding RNA from Lactuca sativa (garden lettuce), 1586 nucleotides. RefSeq lists it as uncharacterized. The record is from RefSeq and is a predicted model, not a curated record. NCBI's taxonomy places the organism in Eukaryota, Viridiplantae, Streptophyta, Magnoliopsida, Asterales, Asteraceae.